CAAGCCUCUGCUAAUGUGUACCUAGUUUAUACUAAGUGACCCAUAGGUUGAGGAGGCGGUGACUGUGGUGGUGGAGGAGGAGGAUGAGGUAGCCAACACUGUUUUUAUAUAUAGAUAUUUUAAUUGGGGUAGCCAAAAAAGACAACUCUGUUCCGCAGAGUAGCUGUUGACAUUAUAGUUGCGCAGGAACUUUGUUUACUCUAGAGAACCUAGGGCAAAUCGCACAUCCCUGUGGCGGCAACUUUGCAUGCGGAUGUCAUCCAUAUCAACUUUUGAUGCCAGUUUCUGCGCCUAUCAUGGUGACCACGGGUAAUGAGGAGUCAGGGUUCCAUUCCGUACAGGGACCCUGAGAAACAACUACCACAUGCAAGGAAGGCAG
This is a non-coding RNA of Pelobates cultripes (western spadefoot toad), 379 nucleotides long. The record is from the annotation of a GenBank genome assembly. NCBI's taxonomy places the organism in Eukaryota, Metazoa, Chordata, Amphibia, Anura, Pelobatidae.